CUAUGGAUAUUCUCAGUUACUUUUUUUGCUUUUUUAAAGACAAGGUCUUUCCUAGUUGUUCAUGGGAACAUAGGCUCUGUCCCAUGACAUACAGUCCCUUUUCACAACACUGGAGAUGAAGCUGGGCUUUGAGUCUGUGCUUGCUUAUUCCCCAACUUCUCGGAGUACUGUGGACAAUGACUGAGGAGAGAAUCCAUGCAGGAAACUGUC
This is a small nucleolar RNA of Nannospalax galili (Upper Galilee mountains blind mole rat), 210 nucleotides long. Its record names the gene SNORA73. It matches the Rfam family "Small nucleolar RNA SNORA73 family". From Rfam's summary of the family: U17 (SNORA73A and SNORA73B) also known as E1 belongs to the H/ACA class of small nucleolar RNAs (snoRNAs). Vertebrate U17 is intron-encoded and ranges in length from 200-230 nucleotides, longer than most snoRNAs. Lineage: Eukaryota; Metazoa; Chordata; Mammalia; Rodentia; Spalacidae. The record is from Ensembl.